RNAcentral lists this transfer RNA (149 nucleotides) under Thermoactinomyces sp. CICC 23799. Its description in RNAcentral is "tRNA-OTHER". Lineage: Bacteria; Bacillati; Bacillota; Bacilli; Caryophanales; Thermoactinomycetaceae. The record is from RNAcentral.
GGAGGGUUGACCAGGCAUAAAAAUGUACAAAACCGCUGUUUUUUGGACAUAUCAGACCCAUAUAAACAAUAAAAAACGGGUGUCGUCGAACUCGAAAACCGCUGUACGGGCUUCCCGUACCGUGGGUUCGAAUCCCACCCUCUCCGCCA